AUGAGAGACCUGCAGGGAGACCGGCCUCGGGACCCCCGGAAGGGCUGGAGCAGCCGAGCGGGGCCCGGGGGAGGCAGCUGCCCCUGGUCACGGUGCGGGACGAGUCCUGCCGGACCCAGCAUUCACCCAGCCUCCUCUCUCACAGCCUCCACCACAGCCCCGAAAGUCUACCCUCUGGCCUCCAGCUGCGGGGACACGUCCAGCUCCACCGUGACCCUGGGCUGCCUGGUCUCUAGCUACAUGCCCGAGCCGGUGACCGUGACCUGGAACUCAGGUGCCCUGACCAGCGGUGUGCACACCUUCCCGGCUGUCCGGCAGGCCUCCGGGCUCUACUCUCUCAGCAGCAUCGUGACCGUGCCCGCCAGCACCUCAGGAUCCCAGACCUUCACCUGCAACGUAGCCCACCCGGCCAGCAGCACCAAGGUGGACAAGCGUGUUGGGCCCGGAUGUAAUAAAAUCUGCCCACCUUCCCCAUGCCCAGCCCCUGACCUCCCCGGAGGACCGUCUGUCUUCAUCUUCCCCCCGAAACCCAAGGACACCCUCACAAUCUCUGGAACACCCGAGGUCACGUGUGUGGUGGUGGACGUGGGCCAGGAUGACCCCGAGGUCAAGUUCACCUGGUUCGUGAAUGACGUGGAGGUGCACACGGCCAGGACAAAGCCGAGAGAGGAGCAGUUCAACAGCACUUACCGCGUGGUCAGCGCCCUGCCCAUCCAGCACCAGGACUGGACUGGGGGAAAGGAGUUCAAGUGCAAGGUCUACAACGAAGGCCUCCCGGCCCCCAUCGUGAGAACAAUCUCCAGGACCAAAGGGCAGGCCCUGGAGCCGCAGGUGUACGUCCUGGCCCCACCCCGGGAAGAGCUCAGCAAAAACACGGUCAGCCUCACCUGCCUGAUCACCGGCUUCUACCCAGACUACAUCGCCGUGGAGUGGCAGAGAGAUGGGCAGCCUGAGUCGGAGGGCAAGUACGGCACGACCCCACCCCAGCUGGACGCCGACGGCUCCUACUUCCUGUACAGCAGGCUCAGGGUGAACAAGAGCAGCUGGCUAGAAGGAGACAGCUACACGUGUAUAGUGAUGCAUGAGGCUCUGCACAAUCACUACACACAGAAGUCCAUCUCUAAGUCUCCGGGUAAAUGAGCCACACGUCCCUGCACCAGCAAGCCCUCACCCAACCCACCCCCCGGGCUCCAGGUCCAGUCAGGACCCCCAGCCCCUCCCUGUGUGCAUUCCUCCUGGGCCGCCAUGAAUAAAGCACCCAGUGCCGCCCUGGGACCCUGCAA
Odocoileus virginianus texanus is the source of this 1283-nucleotide non-coding RNA. NCBI's taxonomy places the organism in Eukaryota, Metazoa, Chordata, Mammalia, Artiodactyla, Cervidae. The record is from the annotation of a RefSeq genome assembly.